GAUGAACGCUGGCGGCGUGCCUAAUACAUGCGAGUCGAACGAAACUUCUUUAUCACCGAGUGCUUGCACUCACCGAUACAGAGUUGAGUGGCGAACGGGUGAGUAACACGUGGGCAACCUGCCCAAAAGAGGGGGAUAACACUUGGAAACAGGUGCUAAUACCGCAUAACCAUAGUUACCGCAUGGUAACUAUGUAAAAGGUGGCUAUACUACCGCUUUUGGAUGGGCCCGCGGCGCAUUAGCUAGUUGGUAGGGUAAAGGCUUACCAAGGCAAUGAUGCGUAGCCGAAUUGAGAGGUUGAUCGGCCACAUUGGGACUGAGACACGGCCCAAACUCCUACGGGAGGCAGCAGUAGGGAAUCUUCCACAAUGGGCGAAAGCCUGAUGGAGCAACGCCGCGUGGGUGAAGAAGGUCUUCGGAUCGUAAAACCCUGUUGUUAGAGAAGAAAGUGCGUGAGAGUAACUGUUCACGUUUCGACGGUAUCUAACCAGAAAGCCACGGCUAACUACGUG
Molecule: ribosomal RNA, 512 nt
Filed under: uncultured bacterium
Lineage: Bacteria
Description: partial 16S ribosomal RNA
Rfam family: Bacterial small subunit ribosomal RNA
Source: RNAcentral